RNAcentral lists this ribosomal RNA (497 nucleotides) under uncultured bacterium. RNAcentral's name for it is "partial 16S ribosomal RNA". It matches the Rfam family "Bacterial small subunit ribosomal RNA", at positions 28 to 507 of the family's 1533-position model. The record is from RNAcentral.
GAUGAACGCUGGCGGCGUGCCUAAUACAUGCAAGUCGAGCGAACAGAUGAGGAGCUUGCUCCUCUGACGUUAGCGGCGGACGGGUGAGUAACACGUGGAUAACCUACCUAUAAGACUGGGAUAACUUCGGGAAACCGGAGCUAAUACCGGAUAAUAUAUUUAACCGCAUGGUUCAAUAGUGAAAGACGGUUUUGCUGUCACUUAUAGAUGGAUCCGCGCCGCAUUAGCUAGUUGGUAAGGUAACGGCUUACCAAGGCAACGAUGCGUAGCCGACCUGAGAGGGUGAUCGGCCACACUGGAACUGAGACACGGUCCAGACUCCUACGGGAGGCAGCAGUAGGGAAUCUUCCGCAAUGGGCGAAAGCUUGACGGAGCAACGCCGCGUGAGUGAUGAAGGUCUUCGGAGCGUAAAACUCUGUUAUUAGGGAAGAACAAAUGUGUAAGUAACUAUGCACGUCUUGACGGUACCUAAUCAGAAAGCCACGGCUAACUACGUG